RNAcentral lists this ribosomal RNA (301 nucleotides) under uncultured bacterium. Its description in RNAcentral is "partial 16S ribosomal RNA". It matches the Rfam family "Bacterial small subunit ribosomal RNA", at positions 509 to 808 of the family's 1533-position model. The record is from RNAcentral.
CAGCCGCCGCGGGAAUACGUAGGUCCCGAGCGUUGUCCGGAUUUAUUGGGCGUAAAGGGAGCGCAGGCGGUUUAAUAAGUCUGAAGUUAAAGGCAUUGGCUCAACCAAUGUAUGCUUUGGAAACUGUUAGACUUGAGUGCAGAAGGGGAGAGUGGAAUUCCAUGUGUAGCGGUGAAAUGCGUAGAUAUAUGGAGGAACACCGGUGGCGAAAGCGGCUCUCUGGUCUGUCACUGACGCUGAGGCUCGAAAGCGUGGGUAGCGAACAGGAUUAGAUACCCCCGUAGUCCCUGUCUCUUAUACA